RNAcentral lists this ribosomal RNA (500 nucleotides) under uncultured bacterium. Its description in RNAcentral is "bacterial SSU rRNA". It matches the Rfam family "Bacterial small subunit ribosomal RNA", at positions 29 to 515 of the family's 1533-position model. The record is from RNAcentral.
AGCGAACGUUAGCGGCGGGCCUAACACGUGCAAGUCGAACGGGCUGUAGCAAUACAGUCAGUGGCGCACGGGUGCGUAACGCGUAGAUAAUCUACCUUCUGGCGGGGGAUAACUGGGGGAAACUCUAGCUAAUACCGCAUAAGACCACGGGGCCCGCGGGUCCUGAGGGAAAAGACGGCCUCUGCAUAUGCUGUCACCAGGAGAUGAGUCUGCGUCCCAUCAGCUAGUUGGUGAGGUAAUGGCUCACCAAGGCGAAGACGGGUAGCUGGUCUGAGAGGAUGAUCAGCCACACUGGCACUGGAACACGGGCCAGACUCCUACGGGAGGCAGCAGUGGGGAAUAUUGGGCAAUGGGCGGAAGCCUGACCCAGCCACGCCGCGUGAGUGAUGAAGGCCUUCGGGUUGUAAAGCUCUGUGGGGAGGGGCGAAAAACUCUGACCUAAUACGUCUGAGGUUGACGGUACCUCCUUAGCAAGCACCGGCUAACUCUGUGCCAGCAGC